RNAcentral lists this ribosomal RNA (447 nucleotides) under uncultured bacterium. Its description in RNAcentral is "bacterial SSU rRNA". It matches the Rfam family "Bacterial small subunit ribosomal RNA", at positions 355 to 825 of the family's 1533-position model. The record is from RNAcentral.
UCGGGAAUUUUGGGCAAUGGGGGAAACCCUGACCCAGCAACGCCGCGUGAAGGAUGAAGUAUUUCGGUAUGUAAACUUCGAAAGAAUAGGAAGAAUAAAUGACGGUACUAUUUAUAAGGUCCGGCUAACUACGUGCCAGCAGCCGCGGUAAUACGUAGGGACCAAGCGUUGUUCGGAUUUACUGGGCGUAAAGGGCGCGUAGGCGGCAUGACAAGUCACUUGUGAAAUCUCUGGGCUUAACCCAGAACGGCCAAGUGAUACUGUCGCGCUAGAGUGCAGAAGGGGCAAUCGGAAUUCUUGGUGUAGCGGUGAAAUGCGUAGAUAUCAAGAGGAACACCUGAGGUGAAGACGGGUUGCUGGGCUGACACUGACGCUGAGGCGCGAAAGCCAGGGGAGCAGACGGGAUUAGAUACCCAGGUAGUCCCUGAGCGGGCUGGCAAGGCGCAU